RNAcentral lists this ribosomal RNA (239 nucleotides) under uncultured bacterium. RNAcentral describes it as "partial 16S ribosomal RNA". It matches the Rfam family "Bacterial small subunit ribosomal RNA", at positions 15 to 235 of the family's 1533-position model. The record is from RNAcentral.
GAUCCUGGCUCAGGAUGAACGCUGGCGGCGUGCUUAACACAUGCAAGUCGAACGGAACUCCUGUGUUUAAGGUUUCGGCCAAGAAGACAGGAAGUUUAGUGGCGGACGGGUGAGUAACGCGUGAGUAACCUGCCUUGGAGUGGGGAAUAACACAGUGAAAACUGUGCUAAUACCGCAUAAUGCAUUUGGGUCGCAUGAUUCUGAAUGCCAAAGAUUUAUCGCUCUGAGAUGGACUCGCG